Molecule: ribosomal RNA, 273 nt
Filed under: uncultured Pseudomonas sp.
Lineage: Bacteria; Pseudomonadati; Pseudomonadota; Gammaproteobacteria; Pseudomonadales; Pseudomonadaceae
Description: partial 16S ribosomal RNA
Rfam family: Bacterial small subunit ribosomal RNA
Source: RNAcentral
CCUUAGUUACCAGCACGUUAUGGUGGGCACUCUAAGGAGACUGCCGGUGACAACCGGAGGAAGGUGGGGAUGACGUCAAGUCAUCAUGGCCCUUACGGCCUGGGCUACACACGUGCUACAAUGGUCGGUACAAAGGGUUGCCAAGCCGCGAGGUGGAGCUAAUCCCAUAAAACCGAUCGUAGUCCGGAUCGCAGUCUGCAGCUCGACUGCGUGAAGUCGGAAUCGCUAGUAAUCGUGAAUCAGAAUGUCACGGUGAAUACGUUCCCGGGCCUU